AGCCAUGGGGAUGUAGAAAACCAGUUUUGGUACCAAGACUCUUGUUGUUCUCUCUCUCUCCUUCGUUUUUCUAGGCUAUCUCUCACCUUUUUUAGACUGUCUUCUACAAGUCCAGUCUUAUCUACAUAAACACAGCAUUCCUCGUUUAAGGCUGCACAAAGUCCUCCUUGUUGUAGGAAAAUUAAGUCUAGGCCUCUUCUAUUUUGUAAGACUACUUCAGACAACGAGGCAACUGAGUCUUUUAAGUUAGCUAAUCCAUCUCUUAAUUCAGCAAUAUCCUUAUCUAUGGCUUCACUAAGCUGGUUAUAGUAUUGAUGGGAAGUAACGAGGGAAGCGAUGCCAGUGCCUGCACCCGCGGCCCCUAGACCUAGGAGAACGGCGAGAGUGAUGGCAGUUACUGGUUCUCUUUUUACCUUGUGAGGCAUAUCCGAGCCCUUUUCCCAGGAUUUAAGAAAAGUCUCUGGCUCAUGUAUGCUGAGUCUGGGAAAUAAUUGAACCAGCACACAGUAAUCUUUAGUCUUUAAAAAUUGAGAUGUUAUAACAUAUGUGGUUAGACCAGUGGAACAUGCUAGAUAAGUAUACUUGGGGGCUUGUAAAUAUGUAUUUUGAUUGUCAAUGAUUAUGGUAUGAUUACAUAUUUCUAAUAAUUGUUUAGGGAGGAGCAUGUUCUUCCCGAGGAGGCAGCUUCCUAUCCCUGAGACUUCUGUGAUAGUGAGUUCUAUGGUGUUCCAAAAGAGACCACCAGUGUUAUUAGUAUAUGUGAUGUUGCCAAAAGUGGCUAUACCCUCAUAGAAAGGAGGGUUAGCUGAAAAACACAUCCAGCAUUCCUCAUAAAUAGAGGUAUUUGUUUCCUGUUCAUGAUAUACCAAGGCAAGAGCUGAGGCGUUAAGAACAGAUAAAAUCAGGCUUGUGGGGGACAUUGGCCCAACAGUUUAGGGAGCGAUCUCUGUGGGAUCCGGGACAGACAUAAAAGUCAGUUUCCCUAAUGUUGGUGCGUCGAUGGACAGUGUCACAACCGACAUAUCUUUCAUUAAAACUAGACCCAUGAGGGGCUUCAAUUAGGGGGGUGUUCCAAGGCGAAGUGGACUGUUCAAGGUGCCCUUGUAAUAAUUGUUCCUGCACCAACUGUAGGGCCGCUUGAACCUUUUCUUGAGGCAUGGACCACUGAUCGAUCCAGACUGGAUCAUUUGACUUCCAAGAUAUUUUAUCAGCCUGGAGUGCAGGAGGAACAGCGGUCUCUAUGAAAAAAGGUCAGGAGCUUUGAACUUUGGAGUGUAUCCUGUGUUUGAUCUAUCCUUUUAAAUGUGUGGCAGUAGCCUUAAGGGGCCAGGUUGAGGGCCAGUGUCUAGAGGAGAGCACUGUUGUAUCCGCCCCUGUAUCUAAAAGGCCCUGAAAUUGUUUGCCAUCAAGCCAAAGAGACAUCAUGGGUCUUUCAUCAGUUAAUUUUUGCACCCAAUAGACAUCUGAAGAGCCAGGGGAGGAAGAACCACGCCCCUUUACUUUAUGAGGGAACUGCCCCAUGAAGGGAAGCGGUAAGGCCUGUGCAAUGCGUUGUCCGGCUCUAAGCGUUAAGGGGCCCUGCGUGGCAGUGGCUAGAAAUUUUAUUUCUCCAGAAUAAUCAGCAUCUAUUACAGAGGGAAGGAUGACAAGUCCUUGAAGAGCACUCGAGGCUUGCCCAAUUAUUAAGAAAAACAUGCCAGGCGGCGGGGGCCCAAACUUUCCAGAUUCUAUGAUAACAGUCCCUUCCUCAGGGGUUAUAAUCCUGGUGGUGGAGGAACACAGGUCCACUCCUGCACUUCCUGCUGUUGCCCGGGAUAAGUUGGCGUUGCAGGAGCUUGAUGCUGCACUUGGGGGCGGGUGGUCACCCGUGG
Molecule: non-coding RNA, 1871 nt
Organism: Rattus norvegicus (Norway rat)
Lineage: Eukaryota; Metazoa; Chordata; Mammalia; Rodentia; Muridae
Source: RefSeq, a predicted model, not a curated record